GAUGAACGCUGGCGGCGUGCCUAAUACAUGCAAGUCGAGCGAACGGACGAGAAGCUUGCUUCUCUGAUGUUAGCGGCGGACGGGUGAGUGACACGUGGAUAACCUACCUAUAAGACUGGGAUAACUUCGGGAAACCGGAGCUAAUACCGGAUAAUAUUUUGAACCGCAUGGUUCAAAAGUGAAAGACGGUCUUGCUGUCACUUAUAGAUGGAUCCGCGCUGCAUUAGCUAGUUGGUAAGGUAACGGCUUACCAAGGCAACGAUGCAUAGCCGACCUGAGGGGGUGAUCGGCCACACUGGAACUGAGACACGGUCCAGACUCCUACGGGAGGCAGCAGUAGGGAAUCUUCCGCAAUGGGCGAAAGCCUGACGGAGCAACGCCGCGUGAGUGAUGAAGGUCUUCGGAUCGUAAAACUCUGUUAUUAGGGAAGAACAUAUGUGUAAGUAACUGUGCACAUCUUGACGGUACCUAAUCAGAAAGCCACGGCUAACUACGUG
RNAcentral lists this ribosomal RNA (497 nucleotides) under uncultured bacterium. Its description in RNAcentral is "partial 16S ribosomal RNA". It matches the Rfam family "Bacterial small subunit ribosomal RNA", at positions 28 to 507 of the family's 1533-position model. The record is from RNAcentral.